RNAcentral lists this ribosomal RNA (460 nucleotides) under uncultured bacterium. RNAcentral describes it as "partial 16S ribosomal RNA". It matches the Rfam family "Bacterial small subunit ribosomal RNA", at positions 338 to 795 of the family's 1533-position model. The record is from RNAcentral.
CCUACGGGUGGCUGCAGUGAGGAAUAUUGGUCAAUGGACGAGAGUCUGAACCAGCCAAGUAGCGUGAAGGAUGACUGCCCUAUGGGUUGUAAACUUCUUUUAUAUAGGAAUAAAAUGUUCCACGUGUGGGAUUUUGUAUGUACCAUAUGAAUAAGGAUCGGCUAACUCCGUGCCAGCAGCCGCGGUAAUACGGAGGAUCCGAGCGUUAUCCGGAUUUAUUGGGUUUAAAGGGAGCGUAGGUGGAUUGUUAAGUCAGUUGUGAAAGUUUGCGGCUCAACCGUAAAAUUGCAGUUGACACUGGCAGUCUUGAGUACAGUAGAGGUGGGCGGAAUUCGUGGUGUAGCGGUGAAAUGCUUAGAUAUCACGAAGAACUCCGAUUGCGAAGGCAGUUCACUGGACUGCAACUGACACUGAGGCUCGAAAGUGUGGGUAUCAAACAGGAUUAGAUACCCUAGUAGUC